CCUCGCUUCCUGCUUGGCACACCUGGGACCAGCUCCACUUCCACUCAAGGGAGGUUUCCUGCUCAGCUUCAGUAGAGGGAUUCCGGAGAACUCUAUAUGAUGCCGUGAGAGGGAAGGAAGGCGCGGGCUGUGGAGUCAGUCUGGGUUCCGCCCUGAUCUCAUGCGAGGAGGAGCUGAGUUUGCCUUGGGCCAUCUGGUUUCUCAGAUUCUUAGUGGUUUAAUCUCAAAAGAGUUGCAUAGCAGUGUUUGCCUCACUCAGUGUGAAGCUGCAAGGGAGCGCACACCUGCCCCAGGCCGUGUCUGGAGCACUGUGGGUGCUGACAGCUAUCACCCUCCAUUUCCUCUCUUUUGCUGAACAGAAAGUAGCUUCACCUGGAGACCAUGGCAUCCACUUGAUGAGUCCACAUUGCUGUCAUCUUUUGUUGGAAAUCUCUUCUAGAAAUGCCUGUUCUUUGGCUGGAAAAGGUUAAGAUUCAGGUCAUUCUACAAAACCCACCAAGCAGCCGUGUGAAAUAUGACACAGAUCUUCAAACCACAGACCUUACUGAAGGGGCUAAGGAGUAGAAGGCUGAAAGAAAGACUGUUCGUUCACUUUCAAGCACGAAUCUUCCACUGCUGUGAGACGCCGAUGCCCGAAUUUUCAGAGAAUUGCUUUGCUCCUUUCUUCCUACGAGAGAAAAGCACGAAGCCCCUUUCCCUGCUGCCGACUUUCCCGUCUGCCCCUGGUGCCAGGCCGCCUGCGUUUUCACAGGAAACUCCGCCGACGAGGAGCUGUGUAAGAUGUCUGCCUGAGGUACGGUCACUUUCUGCAGACUUAGAGCAUGAAAUAAUCAGGACAACAUGUCAGCCAGGUCAUACCCUUCGGUUGACUAUAGUUUUGUCUGGGAGUGAAAUUUUAAACUGCCAAGCAACUUCUGUGUUAUGUUGUAAUCAUUUAGAGCCUUCCCAUUUUUAUAAGACUUUUGACUUAUCUGUUUCUUGCUUAAAUGCUUUCUUCUUCAGUUAUGCCUUUCCCGGAUGGACAUGUAGGCUGUGCUAUGUCUUGAGAGGCACAGGGAAUCCAGUCACUGAGGCGUGCUCACUGUGGCUUCAACCACGGGCAUCGAUUUCUCCCCUAAAACCCUCGAGGAGACACUUGGGGGCUGUUCUCCUGGCUUCCUCAGCUGCACGUUCACACCUGUGUCUGGGCCUCAUGGCCUCCCUCACCGGGCCGCAUAGGAAGGCUAUGGUGGGAACAGCUGUUGGGAACGGCACCCGGGUCUCAAUCGUGGACUGAAGUAAAGCCAGCUGCAGGUCCUCAUCCUGCCGCCCCGUCCCUGCAACGAACUGCAGCCCCUCUCAUCAACAGGGGGCUCCUUCCCCACCUUUGGAGGCCGGGCAGCCUCUGUCUUGCUUUGGCCAGUAGGAUGGGGGCCUGGCCCAGCCUACGCUCAAGACGCCCUGAGCUCUUGCAGUUCCCACAAAGCCCUGUACUGUCACGAGCUGAGAGUCUCUGCGGGGCCCACCUGUCAUGGGAGGGGGCUUGGCAAAGCUCAGCGAAGCCACCCCGCCGACUGGCUGAGCAGAUACAUUCAUUCUCCUCCGCCCCAGCUCAGAUCGCAGCCCUGCCCCAACACCACCUCGACGGUGAGCAGGCAACGGUGGUGGUGGUUACAUGCACAGAGGUUUGUGGUUAUUUCUUGUGGUUACCACUGUGGCCGUAGAUAACUGAUAAUGGAAACAAUAGAGGGAUAAAGAUGUGUAAAUACAGAAAAUCACUCUGAAGUCUACCCUGCAGAGAAAACUAUUAUUAACACUUGGCAGGGGUGCCUUUAUUUUUCUAUAUACUCCUUUUUCAAGUGUCGACAUUAUACGGUAUGUAAUUUUUUUCAUUGAAGGGUAUACGUUUGUUGUUCAUUUUAAUGAACACUGUUCUUAAAUAUCAGUGUAAUAACAUGUAAAUAUUGGGUUAUUUGUAGAGUUCAAAAUUUGUAUAAGCAUUCCAAUUUUGGAUAUUUGAAUUUUUAAAAUAUUAAUGCAAUGAACAUAUCAAUACAUAAUAUUUUUGCUCAUAUGCACUUUACUUCUUUCCUUAAGAUGUAUUCUUAGAGAUGGAGGUCCUGGGC
This is a long non-coding RNA of Macaca mulatta (Rhesus monkey), 2105 nucleotides long. The record is from Ensembl. Lineage: Eukaryota; Metazoa; Chordata; Mammalia; Primates; Cercopithecidae.